This is a long non-coding RNA of Mercurialis annua (annual mercury), 1130 nucleotides long. RefSeq lists it as uncharacterized. Lineage: Eukaryota; Viridiplantae; Streptophyta; Magnoliopsida; Malpighiales; Euphorbiaceae. The transcript has 3 exons. The record is from RefSeq and is a predicted model, not a curated record.
UUGAAAAACAGUAGCAACAUUUUCUUUAUUUCCUCUUAUUUCCUUCAACUAAAACCAUUCUUUUACCCUAAUUUCUUUCCACUCUUAAACCAAAAUUCGAGCCGUCGCAAUUCUCUCUAAUCCUUGGAAAUAAACUCUAGAAAUAACCCUCCUUUUUCAUUGUGAAAUUCGCUUUGUUUAGAGAACCGCUUCGUCUCAGCUGUAGUAGACUCGAUCCCCUACAAUUCUAUAGUUUCAGAUUCAGAUUUGACCCGUCGAAUGCUCGUGCUUCGGAGUCUACGCAUGGUUAGCUGUUUGCCAAGAUUCACGUAGAUAAGCAAACAGUGAGUUUGUAGUGCUAUUUACCGCUUUAUUAAGUACCGCAUCGUAUUUUAAUAUUAUAAAUGCAUUUGAACUGUUUUUACGGAUUAUGGAUCUGGAUUGAAACGAGCUACUCGAUAGGCUUGUAUCGAGACUGUGUGCACCGGUAAGUACUCUGGGAAACGGCAAACUAAAGUCUUGCUUACGCUGGUAUAUUUAUAUGACGAGGAUUUGUUCCCGUCCACUCUGGGUUUAUCGGUAUGCUAUGUCAUAAUUACGCUGGGAUCAUUUCAAUACUGUUUUCCAUAAUCAUAUUAUAUUAGUAUAAAAAAUGUUUUGAUUUAAGGGUUUUAAACUUAAUAAAUGUAAAUAGUAUUGCGAACUCAUCUCAGUAUAUCUGACCCCGUUGUUGUCCCAAAUUUUCCAGGUUUAUAAUUUGAAAGCUGGUCCACUCCGAUUCUUUUGAUUCCUCGGAGGUUUUUAUGUUAUUAAACUAGUUUCUGUUUUCGAACUCUUAGACCGCAGUAGAACUAGUUAUUUAUUUCAUUUGAUAUUUCACUUUGGAAUUGUCGAUAUAUUCGAUUAUUUAUAUUUGGCAUGAUUACUCUGGAUUACGAUAUUAUUAAAUUUAAGGAAUGAUGUGGAAUAUUCAAGAUAUUUAAGUUAUUUAUAUUAGAACCGUAAUAUAAAUUGCUAGACCUAGGUUGGAGUCUCGGUUGCCCCCGAGCAGUUUCUGCAGGUUUAAAUGUUUAAUUGAUUUUCGCAAGGCUUGCUACGGGUUUUGGUACAACCAUACCCAUACCCUAGCGCCGGUCACGAUUCAUGAAAUU